AUGACGUCCCAAUUUGAACAGCGGGGGAGUGUCAGGACCCAGUUGCAGUGUUCUCUCUGUUUUCGUGAUUCAGUUGAAUUCAGACUUCUAACCAUGGGCGUGAAGUUGUGGGAACCGUCCAUCUUCCAUCCAACGCUCCUGGUGGCUUCGUACCGCUUCGGCAAGCUACAGAAGAUGUGGUGCGUUGAUCUUCCAUCGCACGGCUCUGGGUGGUCAAGGCGUCGCUGUUGA
Molecule: ribosomal RNA, 231 nt
Filed under: Triticum aestivum (bread wheat)
Lineage: Eukaryota; Viridiplantae; Streptophyta; Magnoliopsida; Poales; Poaceae
Description: partial small subunit ribosomal RNA
Source: RNAcentral